RNAcentral lists this ribosomal RNA (380 nucleotides) under uncultured bacterium. RNAcentral describes it as "bacterial SSU rRNA". It matches the Rfam family "Bacterial small subunit ribosomal RNA", at positions 28 to 412 of the family's 1533-position model. The record is from RNAcentral.
GACGAACGCUGGCGGCGUGCUUAACACAUGCAAGUCGAGCGGUAAGGCCCUUUGGGGUACACGAGCGGCGAACGGGUGAGUAACACGUGAGUAAUCUGCCUUUGGCUUGGGAAUAACUUCGGGAAAUCGGGGCUAAUGCCUGAUGUUUACUGUCUGCUGCAUGGUGGGUGGUGGAAAGAUUUUUUGGCCAGGGAUGAGCUCGCGGUCUAUCAGCUUGUUGGUGGGGUAAUGGCUACCAAGGCUUUGACGGGUAGCCGGCCUGAGAGGGUGUUCGGCCACACUGGGACUGAGACACGGCCCAGACUCCUACGGGAGGCAGCAGUGGGGAAUCUUGCGCAAUGGGCGAAAGCCUGACGCAGCGACGCCGCGUGAGGGAUGAC